AAUGAAUUUUUUUGGGCCCCUAUACACUUGCGUCACUGUUCUUCGACUGUGCGCAAAGACUUGGCUGUACAUAUGUACUGCUGGUAACAGGUGGCAAGAUGUGUGAAACAAAAACGGAAAGUGACAAGUGACAAGAGACGUGAUGAACCCAGGGGAGACACUGUGCCCGUCCUUCGCAUAAUGUCAGUGAUGCAACGGUUUUGUGAGUUAUUGUGGCUGCUGGUUAGUAAAUCAUGGCCAACGAUGUAGGAAUGAAAAGAGAAGUUCCCUCUGUGAAUCCAAUCUGCAUGACUUUUGUGCGUAAUCAGAAAGAAAUGAAGUCUUAUAC
Molecule: long non-coding RNA, 328 nt
Organism: Brienomyrus brachyistius
Lineage: Eukaryota; Metazoa; Chordata; Actinopteri; Osteoglossiformes; Mormyridae
Exons: 3
Source: RefSeq, a predicted model, not a curated record